Molecule: ribosomal RNA, 402 nt
Filed under: uncultured bacterium
Lineage: Bacteria
Description: bacterial SSU rRNA
Rfam family: Bacterial small subunit ribosomal RNA
Source: RNAcentral
UAGGGAAUCUUGGACAAUGGGCGAAAGCCUGAUCCAGCCAUGCCGCGUGAGUGAUGAAGGCCUUAGGGUUGUAAAGCUCUUUCGCCAGGGAAGAUAAUGACGGUACCUGGAUAAGAAGCCCCGGCUAACUUCGUGCCAGCAGCCGCGGUAAUACGAAGGGGGCUAGCGUUGUUCGGAAUUACUGGGCGUAAAGCGCACGUAGGCGGCUUUCCAAGUUGGAGGUGAAAUCCCCGGGCUUAACCCGGGAACUGCCUCCAAAACUGAAAGGCUAGAGUCCGAGAGAGGUGAGUGGAAUUUCCAGUGUAGAGGUGAAAUUCGUAGAUAUUGGAAAGAACACCAGUGGCGAAGGCGGCUCACUGACUCGGUACUGACGCUGAGGUGCGACAGCGUGGGGAGCAAACA